RNAcentral lists this ribosomal RNA (446 nucleotides) under uncultured bacterium. RNAcentral's name for it is "bacterial SSU rRNA". It matches the Rfam family "Bacterial small subunit ribosomal RNA", at positions 355 to 822 of the family's 1533-position model. The record is from RNAcentral.
UGGGGAAUAUUGCGCAAUGGGGGAAACCCUGACGCAGCGACGCCGCGUGUGGGAUGAAGGUCUUCGGAUUGUAAACCACUGUCGCGAGGGACGAAGCUCUGACGGUACCUCGAAAGGAAGCACCGGCUAACUCUGUGCCAGCAGCCGCGGUAAUACAGAGGGUGCGAGCGUUGUCCGGAAUCACUGGGCGUAAAGGGCGCGUAGGCGGCCCGGUAAGUAGGGGGUGAAAUCUCAUGGCUCAACUGUGAGGCUGCCUUCUAGACUGCCAGGCUUGAGCACAGUAGAGGCGAGUGGAAUUCCCGGUGUAGCGGUGGAAUGCGUAGAGAUCGGGAAGAACAUCGGUGGCGAAGGCGGCUCGCUGGGCUGUUGCUGACGCUGAGGCGCGAAAGCGUGGGGAGCAAACAGGAUUAGAUACCCCAGUAGUCCCUGAGCGGGCUGGCAAGGCG